RNAcentral lists this long non-coding RNA (373 nucleotides) under Anas platyrhynchos platyrhynchos (common mallard). RNAcentral describes it as "lncRNA (ENSAPLG00000026817.1)". The record is from RNAcentral. Lineage: Eukaryota; Metazoa; Chordata; Aves; Anseriformes; Anatidae.
GCUGCAGCGGGGCCUGGGACUGUCGUCUCAGCUGGAGACCUUCUCUGCUGCUCCUUGUAGCUGAAAAGUACAACUGAAUUUUCAUAUCUGACUCUUUGCAGGGAUCUGUCAAUAGAAACCCCACUUAUGAGGCAGAAGCAGCUACAAAUUGUACGGUGUGUUAUGGUAAACAAAUGACCUUGAGAGCCAUGGAAAAGUCAGAGCCAUACCUACAGGCCUGCAUGCCACAGUGGGGGCAUCCACGGGGGUAAGAGAUUUCUCUCCAUCCCAUUGCACUUGUGCCUGGUGUCCUUGGAUGAAGAAUGCCUGAAAUCUCAAAUUACCUGGAGAUGUUUUCUAGUAAUACUGAGCUAGAAUAAAAAUAAAUAAAAAG